RNAcentral lists this non-coding RNA (89 nucleotides) under Noviherbaspirillum sp. Root189. RNAcentral's name for it is "c-di-GMP-I riboswitch aptamer". It matches the Rfam family "c-di-GMP-I riboswitch aptamer". Rfam says of the family: GEMM was predicted in a large-scale screen for bacterial structured RNA regulatory elements. Genes associated with GEMM are involved in a diverse array of functions, including chemotaxis regulation, signal transduction, secretion and chitin. The record is from Rfam by way of RNAcentral. RNAcentral also lists the same sequence under 1 other name. Lineage: Bacteria; Pseudomonadati; Pseudomonadota; Betaproteobacteria; Burkholderiales; Oxalobacteraceae.
AUCACCGCAGGGCAAACCGGUCGAAAGACCGGGACGCAAAGCUUCCGGCCUAACAGAGGUUUUCCUCUCAUGGUAGCGGGGCCGCCUUC